GCAUGAAGCUGGAAUCGCUAGUAAUCGCGGAUCAGAAUGCCGCGGUGAAUACGUUCCCGGGUCUUGUACACACCGCCCGUCACACCAUGGGAGUCGGUAACGCCCGAAGUCAGUGACCCAACCGGAAGGAGGGAGCUGCCGAAGGCGGGACUGGUAACUGGGGUGAAGUCGUAACAAGGUAGC
RNAcentral lists this ribosomal RNA (183 nucleotides) under uncultured bacterium. RNAcentral describes it as "partial 16S ribosomal RNA". It matches the Rfam family "Bacterial small subunit ribosomal RNA", at positions 1318 to 1500 of the family's 1533-position model. The record is from RNAcentral.